RNAcentral lists this ribosomal RNA (253 nucleotides) under uncultured bacterium. RNAcentral describes it as "partial 16S ribosomal RNA". It matches the Rfam family "Bacterial small subunit ribosomal RNA", at positions 524 to 776 of the family's 1533-position model. The record is from RNAcentral.
UACGGAGGGUGCGAACGUUAAUCGGAAUCACUGGGCGUAAAGCGCGUGUAGGCGGUCUGGCAAGUCGGUUGUGAAAUCCCCGGGCUCAACCCGGGAACUGCAUCCGAAACUUCCGGGCUAGAGUUUCGGAGAGGAAGGCAGAAUUCCCAAUGUAGGGGUGAAAUCCGUAGAUAUUGGGAGGAAUACCAGUGGCGAAGGCGGCCUUCUGGACGAUGACUGACGCUGAGACGCGAAAGCGUGGGGAGCAAACAGG